CCCCCUCCAACUUUCUCUCCUAGCUUCGACCCAUCCCUGUCCGGUGUACAAAUAUCUGAAAGUUAGGCUGUCUUAUAGCAUCCAUGCUCGCCGGAGUGAAAUGGUAAACAAAUUUCAAAUCCAAUUUGUAGACAAAUCCGUCUCAAAUUCGCACUCAAAACAAUAUGUUCCAAAUUUUCAUGAACAAAAAAACACAGAAAAACAAUUUCAGAAUUUUUCGGAACCCUGGGGGAUGUAUUUAUAGCCGGAGGAGACUAUGCAAAUCAUGUUUAAAGGGGUUCUCGAUUGAUAAACCCAAAAGGACGCCAACUUUACAAUACUAUUUUAAAUAAACGUAAUAAUGUAAAGUGUAUUUCUCCAGGUAAACCCACUGAUUGGAGAAAAAUACCUGACUUAGUAGACGUUUCAAGGAAAAUCGACCGCCAAUUUGUAUCAGCUAUGACUGUUGUUGGCCUAACCUCUGACCACUUGCUAAUUUUAAUAAAAAUUUACGAGAAAGCGGUGAUAGUGACCCAAGAACUAAGACUAACAAGCAAAAAACAAACUGGCUAAGAUACAAAAAAAUGUUUAGUAGUCACAUUAACAUCAGCCCUAUAUUGAACAGUGAAAACGAUAAGGAUGAAUUUAUUAAGGACUUCAAUAACGGUUAAAACAUCAACCCUGGAAGUUGUAAAUGCGACUCAGCAAUUGAACCCAAAGAAAUCUCCAGGCUAUGACCUUAUUACACUGAAAUGUAAAAGAGCUACCAAGUGUUGCACUACCACUACUCUCUGGACUCUUUAAUGCCACUAUGAAACUAAGUCACUUUCCAAAUGCGUGGCAAAAGUUGCAGAUACUAAUGAUAGCCAAACCAGGAAGAGACCACCCACAGACGUCUUCUUACAGACCAAUAAGCCCUGCCCUUUCAAAUUAUUCGAUGGAAUUUUGCUAUCAAAGAUAUCUCCUUUUCUCCCAUUCGGUUUUCGUGAAAAACAUGGUACUGUAGAACAAGUCAACUUAAUUACUAAUGAAAUUAGGAAGGCAUUCGAGGAGUAUUGCUGUGCAAUAUUUCUUAACGUAGCACAAGCGUUCGAGAAGGUUUCACAUAAAGGCCUACAACAAAAAAUUUAUAAAACUACCUAUCCAAUUCUACAAUAUACUGUCUACCGUGAUACAAUCGGAAUUUAUCACUGAAGAGUUUCUAGUAAAUGCUUUUGUACUUCAAGGUAGCGUUCAUAUACACUGCAGAUAUCCUAGUAAAUCGAAAUGUACAAACAUCUACUUUCGCGGACAACACAGCCAUAUUAUGCCGUAAUAAAUGUCGUAGAAAUGUAUCAAAAUCGAUUGGGGACUAAUUAAUUCUUAUCGAAGAAUGGUUGACAAACUGGAGAAUUAAAGUCAAUGAGCAAAAGUCUAAACACGUUACAUAUACAUUACGCCCACAAAUAUGUCCUGCAAUUAGAUUAAAUGGUAUAAAUAUUCUCCAAGAAUCGGUGGAAGGCCCACCUGGAAAAUACGUAUAUGUGCCAAAAUACUAGCAGCUAGCUAAAAUUGACUUUUACAUAGGAACUCUAGGAUAAAACUAGAUUAGAAAAUACUCAUCUACAAUGCAAUUAUAAAGCCUAUUUGGAUGUAUGAUAUUCAAUUCGUUUAGAAAUUUCCGACUGCAUCGACGAGAUGUUCCCGCCUUCUAAGAAAAGCGCCAUAGUUCGAAAAGGGCUCGGAGUUAGCUCGAGCUAACACGUUUAUUUUAAUUUAGGUUUAAGAUUUGUAAACUUACUGUUAGGCUUUGAGCAUAUUCAAUAAUUGAAAAAGAUUGUACCCAAUGUAUUAGGGAUCACACCAAACUUCGUCCGCACUCACAGCUUGCACAAUUAUAAAAGGAACUGAAAAUGAUCGUUUAUUUAGUUGCACAAUUUAUAUUAUUUUUCGAAUAAAAUUAAUGUGAUUUUACA
Bactrocera oleae (olive fruit fly) is the source of this 1934-nucleotide non-coding RNA. Lineage: Eukaryota; Metazoa; Arthropoda; Insecta; Diptera; Tephritidae. The record is from RefSeq and is a predicted model, not a curated record.